GUACUGUGCGAACGUUAUUCGGAAUCACUGGGCUUAAAGGGUGCGUAGGCGGCUGGAUAAGUAGGGUGUGAAAUCCCUCGGCUCAACCGAGGAACUGCGCUCUAAACUGUCCGGCUUGAGUGAGAUAGGGGUGUGCGGAACUUCCAGUGGAGCGGUGAAAUGUGUUGAUAUUGGAAGGAACGCCGGUGGCGAAAGCGGCACACUGGGUCUCAACUGACGCUGAGGCACGAAAGCCAGGGUAGCGAACGGGGGAUUAGAUACCCCGGUAGUCCUGGCCGUAAACGUUGAGCACUAGUUGGGAGGGUUUCGGCCCUCUUCGAACGUAGCGAAAGCAUUAAGUGCUCCGCCUGGGGAGUAUGGUCGCAAGGCUG
This 371-nucleotide ribosomal RNA is filed under the name uncultured organism. Its description in RNAcentral is "partial 16S ribosomal RNA". It matches the Rfam family "Bacterial small subunit ribosomal RNA", at positions 527 to 896 of the family's 1533-position model. The record is from RNAcentral.